This 777-nucleotide ribosomal RNA is filed under the name Geitlerinema sp. Sif. RNAcentral describes it as "bacterial SSU rRNA". It matches the Rfam family "Bacterial small subunit ribosomal RNA", at positions 21 to 842 of the family's 1533-position model. Lineage: Bacteria; Bacillati; Cyanobacteriota; Cyanophyceae; Geitlerinematales; Geitlerinemataceae. The record is from RNAcentral.
UGCUCAGGAUGAACGCUGGCGGCGUGCCUAACACAUGCAAGUCGAACGAAGUCUUCGGACUUAGUGGCGGACGGGUGAGUAACGCGUGAGAACCUGCCUCGAGGAGGGGGAUAACAGCGGGAAACUGCUGCUAAUACCCCAUAUGCCGAAAGGUGAAAAGAAAUUUGCCUUGAGAGGGGCUCGCGUCCGAUUAGCUAGUUGGUGAGGUAAGAGCUUACCAAGGCGACGAUCGGUAGCUGGUCUGAGAGGAUGAGCAGCCACACUGGGACUGAGACACGGCCCAGACUCCUACGGGAGGCAGCAGUGGGGAAUUUUCCGCAAUGGGCGAAAGCCUGACGGAGCAACGCCGCGUGGGGGAAGAAGGCCUUUGGGUUGUAAACUCCUUUUCUCAGGGAAGAAGAACUGACGGUACCUGAGGAAUCAGCCUCGGCUAACUCCGUGCCAGCAGCCGCGGUAAUACGGAGGAGGCAAGCGUUAUCCGGAAUUAUUGGGCGUAAAGCGUUCGUAGGCGGCGUUUCAAGUCUGCUGUCAAAGGCCGAGGCUCAACUUCGGAAAGGCAGUGGAAACUGAAAAGCUAGAGGUCGGUAGGGGCAGAGGGAAUUCCCAGUGUAGCGGUGAAAUGCGUAGAUAUUGGGAAGAACACCGGUGGCGAAAGCGCUCUGCUGGGCCGAACCUGACGCUGAGGGACGAAAGCUAGGGGAGCGAAUGGGAUUAGAUACCCCAGUAGUCCUAGCCGUAAACGAUGGAGACUAGGUGUUGCCUGUAUCGACCCGAGCG